Molecule: long non-coding RNA, 312 nt
Organism: Saccostrea cuccullata (small rock oyster)
Lineage: Eukaryota; Metazoa; Mollusca; Bivalvia; Ostreida; Ostreidae
Exons: 4
Source: RefSeq, a predicted model, not a curated record
CCUGACACACAUACCAUUGAUGUCACAACUAUCAUAAUAUGUGUUGUAGUCUCUCUUUUCAUUGUAUUCAUCGGAAGUGUCUUGAACUUUCUCAUCUGGAGGCGGAAUGGGAAUAAAGCUAAGGAAAGCAGACGAGUCGGACAAAAAAUUAAUUUAAACGAACUGUCAGCUGUACACCUUGCAGAUCAAAAUAUCGAGAGAGAUAAGACUACCUCACCUUAUACAGAACUUGGUACCCUGAACAAAUCUGACACUUACGAGGAUCUUCACAUCUGUGCUGACCGUGAAGAGAAGAAUUGAUAAAGUUUACGU